ACUACUGAACCCCCUUACCCCUCACACUCAGCAGUACGUAUGGGACAGGAGCGGGGGACCCAAGUUCCACGCGACUAACUCGGACGGUCGCUUGGGGUGAAGCCAUCGCUCGAUGGCCGGGCAACCUUCUAGCCCGAACCCGACAGCUCACCUCGCAGGCGUGGGAAGGAACU
Molecule: small RNA, 173 nt
Filed under: Nocardioides luteus
Lineage: Bacteria; Bacillati; Actinomycetota; Actinomycetes; Propionibacteriales; Nocardioidaceae
Description: c-di-AMP sequence
Rfam family: c-di-AMP riboswitch aptamer (ydaO/yuaA leader)
About the family: This family represents a conserved RNA structure found upstream of the ydaO and yuaA genes in Bacillus subtilis and related genes in other bacteria. The ydaO/yuaA element is thought to act as a genetic "off" switch for the ydaO and yuaA genes in its native state.
Source: RNAcentral